UGCAGUCGAGGGGUAGUGGGAGCUUGCUUCCAUGAGACCGGCGCACGGGUGCGUAACGCGUAUGCAAUCUGCCUCUCACUGGGGAAUAGCCCGGAGAAAUCCGGAUUAAUGCCCCAUGGUAUUUCGGGACGGCAUCGUCCUGUUAUUAAAGAUUUAUCGGUGAGAGAUGAGCAUGCGUCCCAUUAGUUAGUUGGUAAGGUAACGGCUUACCAAGACGAUGAUGGGUAGGGGUCCUGAGAGGGAGAUCCCCCACACUGGUACUGAGACACGGACCAGACUCCUACGGGAGGCAGCAGUGAGGAAUAUUGGUCAAUGGGCGCAAGCCUGAACCAGCCAUGCCGCGUGCAGGACGACGGCCCUAUGGGUUGUAAACUGCUUUUGUACGGGAAGAAACACUCCAACGUGUUGGAGCUUGACGGUACCGUAAGAAUAAGGAUCGGCUAACUCCGUGCCAGCAGCCGCGGUAAUACGGAGGAUCCAAGCGUUAUCCGGAAUCAUUGGGUUUAAAGGGUCCGUAGGCGGCCCUGUAAGUCAGUGGUGAAAUCUUUCGGCUCAACCGGAAAAUUGCCAUUGAUACUGCAGGGCUUGAAUUAUUGGGAAGUAACUAGAAUAUGUAGUGUAGCGGUGAAAUGCUUAGAGAUUACAUGGAAUACCGAUUGCGAAGGCAGGUUACUAUCAAU
Molecule: ribosomal RNA, 680 nt
Filed under: Flavobacterium sp. M47C11A
Lineage: Bacteria; Pseudomonadati; Bacteroidota; Flavobacteriia; Flavobacteriales; Flavobacteriaceae
Description: bacterial SSU rRNA
Rfam family: Bacterial small subunit ribosomal RNA
Source: RNAcentral